ACAUUUCCCAGUAUUCCCUUGGCCACUACCAACAGGAAAGACGGGGAGGGAGUGAGGAAGCUGAGACCUCAUGCUGUAGCCUGCUGCGAAUGGAGAGCUGCGCUGGUUGAGCAUCCAUGAGGCCGAAGACCUGUGGUGCUGGGACUGGCACCAGGACAGCAGGCUCCUGGGCUACAGGAACACAGCUAGGGUGGGAGAGGUCUUCGGAAAGUUCUUCUCGGAAGGGCAGAGAAGACUCUUCCUCCGGACGGCAGUGCUGGCCUUCCACAACCCCCUGCUGCGUGUCCAGGGGCGGCUCUAGGCACCAGCAAAGGAAGCACGUGCUUGAGGCAGCCCAUUUGCAGGAGCGGCAGGGAUCCAGCAUAGCAGCUGAGAACCAACAGGGGCCCCUGGGAGUUGUACUUCGUUGGUUAGCUCCCUGCCUAUAGAGCCAGCCCUUGAGCAGGGAAAGAACUACAUUUCCCAGUAUUCCCUUGGCCACUACCAACAGGAAAGAGGGGGAGGGAGUGAGGAAGCUGAGACCUCAUGCUGUAGCCUGCUGCGAAUGGAGAGCUGUGCUGUGAGUAGGGAUUCCGUAUUUUAACAUUCCAAAAAUAGGACACUCCAUGGGGAGGGAGGGUA
Long non-coding RNA from Malaclemys terrapin pileata, 621 nucleotides. RefSeq lists it as uncharacterized. The transcript has 3 exons. The record is from RefSeq and is a predicted model, not a curated record. Lineage: Eukaryota; Metazoa; Chordata; Testudines; Emydidae.